This 648-nucleotide ribosomal RNA is filed under the name uncultured Brachybacterium sp. RNAcentral's name for it is "bacterial SSU rRNA". It matches the Rfam family "Bacterial small subunit ribosomal RNA", at positions 95 to 757 of the family's 1533-position model. Lineage: Bacteria; Bacillati; Actinomycetota; Actinomycetes; Micrococcales; Dermabacteraceae. The record is from RNAcentral.
GUGGCGAACGGGUGAGUAACACGUGAGUAACCUGCCCCCCACUUCGGGAUAACCUCGGGAAAUCGUGGCUAAUACCGGAUACGAGCACUCAUCGCAUGGUGAGUGCUGGAAAGAUUUAUCGGUGGGGGAUGGACUCGCGGCCUAUCAGUUUGUUGGUGAGGUGAUGGCUCACCAAGACGAUGACGGGUAGCCGGCCUGAGAGGGCGACCGGCCACACUGGGACUGAGACACGGCCCAGACUCCUACGGGAGGCAGCAGUGGGGAAUAUUGCACAAUGGGCGAAAGCCUGAUGCAGCGACGCCGCGUGGGGGAUGACGGCCUUCGGGUUGUAAACCCCUUUCAGUAGGGAAGAAGCGAGAGUGACGGUACCUGCAGAAGAAGCGCCGGCUAACUACGUGCCAGCAGCCGCGGUAAUACGUAGGGCGCAAGCGUUGUCCGGAAUUAUUGGGCGUAAAGAGCUUGUAGGUGGCUUGUCGCGUCUGCCGUGAAAACCCGAGGCUCAACCUCGGGCGUGCGGUGGGUACGGGCAGGCUAGAGUGUGGUAGGGGAGACUGGAACUCCUGGUGUAGCGGUGAAAUGCGCAGAUAUCAGGAAGAACACCGAUGGCGAAGGCAGGUCUCUGGGCCAUUACUGACACUGAGAAGCGAA